AGAGUUUGAUCCUGGCUCAGGACGAACGCUGGCGGCGUGCUUAAUACAUGCAAGUCGAGCGAGGUUACUGUUUCGGAUCCCUUCGGGGUGAAGAAGCUUUAACCUAGCGGCGGACGGGUGAGUAACGCGUGGGUAACCUACCCCAAAGUCCGGGAUAACAGCGGGAAACCGCUGCUAAUACCGGAUGCCUUUACCUUGGGGCAUCUUGAGGUAAAGAAAGGUAACGCUUUGGGAUGGGCCCGCGUCCCAUUAGCUAGUUGGUGAGGUAACGGCUCACCAAGGCGACGAUGGGUAGCCGGCCUGAGAGGGUGGACGGCCACACUGGGACUGAGACACGGCCCAGACUCCUACGGGAGGCAGCAGUAGGGAAUAUUGCGCAAUGGACGGAAGUCUGACGCAGCGACGCCGCGUGAGCGAUGAAGGUCUUCGGAUCGUAAAGCUCUGUCCUUGGGGAAGAAGGUCUUCGGACUUGACGGUACCCAAGAAGAAAGCCCCGGCUAACUACGUGCCAGCAGCCGCGGUAAU
RNAcentral lists this ribosomal RNA (525 nucleotides) under uncultured bacterium. Its description in RNAcentral is "bacterial SSU rRNA". It matches the Rfam family "Bacterial small subunit ribosomal RNA", at positions 8 to 524 of the family's 1533-position model. The record is from RNAcentral.